RNAcentral lists this unclassified non-coding RNA (292 nucleotides) under Hevea brasiliensis (rubber tree). Lineage: Eukaryota; Viridiplantae; Streptophyta; Magnoliopsida; Malpighiales; Euphorbiaceae. The record is from RNAcentral.
ACGGGUUUCCACCUUUUGAAAUUUACGGACAUAGCCCUGAAACGUUUCUUUGCUGUGCCCUGCUGUUUUCAUGCUGGAAACGUUUCAGAAAUGGGGAAACUCCAUCCAUAGCCGUUUCCAUGCUUUGCAGGUGGUCAUUUAUAGAAUUAGAGAUUUGGGUUUGUAUAUAAUUUCUUAUCCCUACUCUCUUUAUUUUUUAUAUAAUUUCUGGUUUAUCAUUCAUCAUGGAUUGCAAGGUCAAGAGAAUGUGACUUGGAUUGUGGAUUGCUCCAAUCUCCAAUUGGAGUUAGAA